This 181-nucleotide non-coding RNA is filed under the name Pelosinus fermentans. The record is from RNAcentral. Lineage: Bacteria; Bacillati; Bacillota; Negativicutes; Selenomonadales; Sporomusaceae.
UUAUAUAUUGCUGGUAUAGGUGCCCUUCGGGGCUUAAUAGGGAAGUUUGGUUCAAUGCCGACACGGUCCCGCCACUGUAAUGAGGAGCAAACCCAUGUUGUGCCACUGAGAUGAUAUCUUGGGAAGGUUUGGGGGAGUGAUGAUCCAGAGUCAGGAGAACUGCCUAUAUAACAAAUCACCG